GCUUCGUUAACUCAGCGGAAGAGUGCCGGCCUGUCUAGCCGGAAGCCGCGGGUUCGAACCCCGCACGGAGCGCCA
Molecule: transfer RNA, 75 nt
Filed under: Rhizobacter sp.
Lineage: Bacteria; Pseudomonadati; Pseudomonadota; Betaproteobacteria; Burkholderiales; Sphaerotilaceae
Description: tRNA-Asp
Rfam family: tRNA
About the family: Transfer RNA (tRNA) molecules are approximately 80 nucleotides in length. Their secondary structure includes four short double-helical elements and three loops (D, anti-codon, and T loops). Further hydrogen bonds mediate the characteristic L-shaped molecular structure. tRNAs have two regions of fundamental functional importance: the anti-codon, which is responsible for specific mRNA codon recognition, and the 3' end, to which the tRNAs corresponding amino acid is attached (by aminoacyl-tRNA synthetases). tRNAs cope with the degeneracy of the genetic code in two manners: having more than one tRNA (with a specific anti-codon) for a particular amino acid; and 'wobble' base-pairing, i.e. permitting non-standard base-pairing at the 3rd anti-codon position.
Source: RNAcentral